GACGAACGCUGGCGGCGUGCUUAACACAUGCAAGUCGAACGGAAAGGCCCUGCUUUUGUGGGGUGCUCGAGUGGCGAACGGGUGAGUAACACGUGAGUAACCUGCCCUUGACUUUGGGAUAACUUCAGGAAACUGGGGCUAAUACCGGAUAGGAGCUCCUGCUGCAUGGUGGGGGUUGGAAAGUUUCGGCGGUGGGGGAUGGACUCGCGGCUUAUCAGCUUGUUGGUGGGGUAGUGGCUUACCAAGGCUUGGACGGGUAGCCGGCAUGAGAGGGUGACCGGCCACAUUGGGACUGAGAUACGGCCCAGACUCCUACGGGAGGCAGCAGUGGGGAAUAUUGCACAAUGGGCGGAAGCCUGAUGCAGCAACGCCGCGUGCGGGAUGACGGCCUUCGGGUUGUAAACCGCUUUCGCCUGUGACGAAGCGUGAGUGACGGUAAUGGGUAAAGAAGCACCGGCUAACUACGUG
RNAcentral lists this ribosomal RNA (468 nucleotides) under uncultured bacterium. RNAcentral's name for it is "partial 16S ribosomal RNA". It matches the Rfam family "Bacterial small subunit ribosomal RNA", at positions 28 to 507 of the family's 1533-position model. The record is from RNAcentral.